RNAcentral lists this long non-coding RNA (852 nucleotides) under Marmota monax (woodchuck). The record is from RNAcentral. Lineage: Eukaryota; Metazoa; Chordata; Mammalia; Rodentia; Sciuridae.
CAGUGUUAAUUUAUUGUCACCUUCUUCCUGUAACAAAGGCUGGGAUAGAUCUUCACGCACACCACGACCGAGGACAGCACCUCACUUGUGAUCCACUUCCCCAGGCAAUCGGAGCUCCCCGUCCCCUGUUACUGCACAAAUCUCUGAAGGGAAGGCUUCCAAGAGGAGGUGACAUUUUUGACAUGGACUGGGAGGAUUUGUACGAUUUGUACAGGAAGAAAAGAAAGAAAUACCAGGUGAUGGCUCAGAUGCAAAAGCCCCAUGGCAUGUUGGGAAUGGUGAAUCUUUCAGUUCGAUUGGAAGAUAAGGAUGUUGGAGGAGGAGAAGGAAACUGGUGGAAUGGUAGAAUGGAAUCCAGGGAGCAUCAGGACCUCCAUUAAUGGACAUUGAACAAGGGAGAGUGGGGAGCCUGGGAAGGUUUUCAGCAGGUGUGCUAGUCAGUUUUCUUUCCCUAUAAUAAGAUACCUGAGAUAAUCAACUUAUAAAGAAAAAAAAAAGGUUAGUUAGGGCUCAUGGUUUUGAGGGUUCCAGUGCAGAAUUGGUUGGCUCUGUGGCUUUGGGCCUGUGGCAAGGACAUCGUGGUGCUCACAUCACAAGCCAGCGAGGGAGCAAAGAGAGAAGGCUGAGCUGGGACCCUACAGUUCUCUUCGGAACACAUUCCCAAAGACCUAAAGGUGUUCCUUUAGGCCCCGCCUCUUAAAGGCUCCACCAGCUGGUAGUAACUCCACUUGGGGAGUUUAGGGAACAUUUAUGGUCCAAAGUAGAGAUCAGGAAAGUGGCACAUCGGCUGUAUUCACUGGAAGGACCCCUCUGUCAGCCACUGAGUGGAUUAGAAGGUGGGAAGACCACCAG